GUGGGGAAUCUUAGACAAUGGGGGAAACCCUGAUCUAGCCAUGCCGCGUGAGCGAUGAAGGCCUUAGGGUUGUAAAGCUCUUUCAGCUGGGAAGAUAAUGACGGUACCAGCAGAAGAAGCCCCGGCUAACUCCGUGCCAGCAGCCGCGGUAAUACGGAGGGGGCUAGCGUUGUUCGGAAUUACUGGGCGUAAAGCGCGCGUAGGCGGACCAGAAAGUUGGAGGUGAAAUCCCAGGGCUCAACCUUGGAACUGCCUUCAAAACUCCUGGUCUGGAGUUCGAGAGAGGUGAGUGGAAUUCCGAGUGUAGAGGUGAAAUUCGUAGAUAUUCGGAGGAAUACCAGUGGCGAAGGCGGCUCACUGGCUCGAUACUGACGCUGAGGUGCGAAAGCGUGGGGAGCAAACAGGAUUAGAAACCCCUGUAGUCC
This 425-nucleotide ribosomal RNA is filed under the name uncultured bacterium. RNAcentral's name for it is "partial 16S ribosomal RNA". It matches the Rfam family "Bacterial small subunit ribosomal RNA", at positions 354 to 796 of the family's 1533-position model. The record is from RNAcentral.